UCUCCGUUGGUGAACCAGCGGAGGGAUCAUUACUGAGUGAGGGCUCCGGCCCGACCUCCAACCCCAUGUGAACCGAAACCUGUUGCUUCGGGGGCGACCCUACCGUUCGGCGUGGCGCCCCCGGAGGCUCAUCAAACACUGCAUCAUUGCGUCGGAGUUAAAGUAAAUUAAACAAAACUUUCAACAACGGAUCUCUUGGUUCCAGCAUCGAUGAAGAACGCAGC
This 224-nucleotide unclassified non-coding RNA is filed under the name uncultured fungus. RNAcentral describes it as "sequence contains ITS1, 5.8S rRNA gene". The stretch from base 176 to 224 matches the Rfam family "5.8S ribosomal RNA", at positions 1 to 49 of the family's 154-position model. The record is from RNAcentral. Lineage: Eukaryota; Fungi.